Long non-coding RNA from Pungitius pungitius (ninespine stickleback), 511 nucleotides. RefSeq lists it as uncharacterized. The transcript has 3 exons. The record is from RefSeq and is a predicted model, not a curated record. NCBI's taxonomy places the organism in Eukaryota, Metazoa, Chordata, Actinopteri, Perciformes, Gasterosteidae.
ACCUGGUGGUGUAGAAGUCAUGCAGCACUAUAAAGACACUGGAAAUCUCUCAACCUCCAAAAGAAAGGAGAUGAUUAAUAUAUUGGUUGCACACAUGACUGAACAAGAAGGAAGGAUACCGCUUAAGGCCACAAGAGAGAUGUAUGCCCUUGGCAUUAUUACUCUCUUUCCAAACCUAAAAGAUCCUGAAGGAAAGACAGGCUAGGAACAAUACUAUGACGCACAGAGAGGCACAGGUUUUAUUAUGAAUCGCCUAAAGACGGUUCAGAGAAACACUAAUUGUAAAAUGCCCUCUCAAUCAAAUGAGAAAUCUUGUGGCCCUAGAAUGGAGGAAAUGAUCUGCCUUACAGAUCAGCUAACAGGUGAUGAUUGCCAAGAAGCAAUCUCACUGCUUAAACACAGCACUGAUCGUGAUAUCAUCUUCUGGAAGAUGAAAGAAACUUUUCAGUACCGUCAGGAGAUUGUAAAGGACCCAAAGUCGUCCACCUCCAUCUUUCACAUUUUUCCUCGA